This 19-nucleotide small nuclear RNA is filed under the name Arabidopsis thaliana (thale cress). RNAcentral describes it as "snRNA_14362". The record is from RNAcentral. Lineage: Eukaryota; Viridiplantae; Streptophyta; Magnoliopsida; Brassicales; Brassicaceae.
UCCGGGCGGAGGACAUUGU